UUCUUUGCGACACCUUUGUAUCCUUUGUGAUCGUUUUGUCAGCGUAAUCAUCAUAUAUACAUAUACAUAUACAUUCAUACAAUUUCAUAAUUUGCAUAUCUCGCAUCUUCAUAUUUGAUUUCUUUGAGAUUCUUAUUCUCUGUUAUGGUGGUAUUUUAUCCCCAUAUCAAAUCUGGUGUCUGUCCUUCUUUAAUUGUAGAGUGUCAGCCCCUCAAGCAGAAAUACUUUAACCUUUCUC
This 238-nucleotide long non-coding RNA is filed under the name Lathyrus oleraceus (garden pea). Its description in RNAcentral is "Pisum sativum (pea) long non-coding RNA (PSAT_LNC006861)". Lineage: Eukaryota; Viridiplantae; Streptophyta; Magnoliopsida; Fabales; Fabaceae. The record is from RNAcentral.